CCUACGGGAGACAGCAGUAGGGAAUAUUGCUCAAUGGGGGAAACCCUGAAGCAGCAACGCCGCGUGGAGGAUGAAGGUUUUCGGAUUGUAAACUCCUUUUGUUAGAGAAGAUAAUGACGGUAUCUAACGAAUAAGCACCGGCUAACUCCGUGCCAGCAGCCGCGGUAAUACGGAGGGUGCAAGCGUUACUCGGAAUCACUGGGCGUAAAGGGCGCGUAGGCGGGAUAGCAAGUCAGACGUGAAAUCCUAUGGCUUAACCAUAGAACUGCAUUUGAAACUGUUAUUCUAGAGUAUGGGAGAGGUAGGUGGAAUUCUUGGUGUAGGGGUAAAAUCCGUAGAGAUCAAGAGGAAUACUCAUUGCGAAGGCGACCUGCUAGAACAUAACUGACGCUGAUGCGCGAAAGCGUGGGGAGCAAACAGGAUUAGAUACCCCUGUAGUC
This 440-nucleotide ribosomal RNA is filed under the name uncultured bacterium. RNAcentral describes it as "partial 16S ribosomal RNA". It matches the Rfam family "Bacterial small subunit ribosomal RNA", at positions 338 to 795 of the family's 1533-position model. The record is from RNAcentral.